GCAUUGAUGGUUCAGUGGUAGAAUUCUUGCCUUUCGGGCAGGAGACCCAGGUUGGAUUCCCAGCUAGUGUA
RNAcentral lists this transfer RNA (71 nucleotides) under Loxodonta africana (African savanna elephant). It matches the Rfam family "tRNA". Rfam says of the family: Transfer RNA (tRNA) molecules are approximately 80 nucleotides in length. The record is from Rfam by way of RNAcentral. Lineage: Eukaryota; Metazoa; Chordata; Mammalia; Proboscidea; Elephantidae.